Molecule: non-coding RNA, 814 nt
Organism: Lolium perenne
Lineage: Eukaryota; Viridiplantae; Streptophyta; Magnoliopsida; Poales; Poaceae
Source: RefSeq, a predicted model, not a curated record
GUCCUCACCCGCAUGUCUCCAUCCUCGCCUCAAGUUCGUCAUCUCCGUCUUCGUCGCCCAGGUCCAAGGCGUGGCUUUUCUGCAUCUUGAGCUGGCUGCGUAUCCAUUCAUGUAUCAACGCAAGCAACUCAACAUCGUUUGGUUCCCAUCUUCGUUUGGAUCAAUAAAGGUUGCAGCUGCUCAUGAUCAAAAUGUGCUUUGUAGACCAGCUGGUUCGUUUCUUUGUUCAGACCCGGAUUCCACCGUCAGCUCCUGCCAAUGCCACCUCAGUGAACCCGUCAAGUCAUCAAUCCAAUCAUCACUCUCUGGUCCAGCCGUCAGCCGCUGUGGCUAGCUCUUCUCUGGUAUAAAACGUUUUCAUCUUUUCCCUGUUUUCUGAAAAAUCCAGAAAAUGUUUCAAACUUGCAAAAAAUCAUAGCUCUCAAACUAUAACUCGGAAUAAAAUGUUUUAUAUAUGAAUUUUGCUCAGAAAAAUACGAGGAUCAUGAAUAUGCCAUCCAUGCUUGCUGUUGCAUCAUGCAUCAUAUAAUUUCGUGCUAGUUCGCAUUAUCACCUAAUAUGUAACAUAUGGAAUAUGUGGGAUAUUGUAUAAAUGUUGUCCCGGUUCCAUUUAACUUUGAUGUAGCUCACCCCUGCCAUGUUUGCUAUGCUAAUCCACCCUUAAAUUUGACGAUAGAAAAUGCAACUCCAACCUAAUUUAUGUGUCCGGGGUUUCGACUCCGAUUAAUUUGGAUAAGUUGCAUCGCCGGAUCAUGUUUGCCAUGCCAUGCAUAUCAUAUCAUGAUCAUGCAGAUUCUUUUGCCGUAGUAGUAAG